GAUGAACGCUGACAGAAUGCUUAACACAUGCAAGUCUUUGGCGAAUCUGUGCUUGCACAGGCUAGCCAAGGCGGACGGGUGAGUAACGCGUAAAGAACUUGCCCUGCAGACAGGGAUAACAGACGGAAACGACUGAUAACACCUGAUACAGUUGCCGGCACGCAUGUGCCUGGCAAUGAAAAGAGAUGCUGCAGGAGAGCUUUGCGUCCUAUUAGCUUGUUGGUGAGGUGACGGCUCACCAAGGCGAUGAUAGGUAGCCGGCCUGAGAGGGUGAACGGCCACAAGGGGACUGGGAUACGGCCCUUACUCCUACGGGAGGCAGCAGUGGGGAAUAUUGGACGAUGGGGGCAACCCUGAUCCAGCAAUUCUGUGUGCACGAAGAAGGUUUUCGGAUUGUAAAGUGCUUUCAGCAGGGAAGAAGAAAGUGACGGUACCUGCAGAAGAAGCGACGGCUAAAUACGUG
RNAcentral lists this ribosomal RNA (463 nucleotides) under uncultured bacterium. Its description in RNAcentral is "partial 16S ribosomal RNA". It matches the Rfam family "Bacterial small subunit ribosomal RNA", at positions 28 to 507 of the family's 1533-position model. The record is from RNAcentral.